GACCCAGUGAUCUAGUGGUAUGAUCUGACUUCUUCGUAGUCAGUAGGCGAGUUCGAAUCUCGUCUGGGUUA
RNAcentral lists this transfer RNA (71 nucleotides) under Candida gigantensis. RNAcentral's name for it is "tRNA-Glu". Lineage: Eukaryota; Fungi; Ascomycota; Pichiomycetes; Serinales; Debaryomycetaceae. The record is from RNAcentral.